AGUAGGUGGUCAUGGACCUGUGCCCUGAAUCCUGUAAGGCAAGUAGAUGUGGAGUUGACAGGUCUCAGGACAGGAUCUUUCAGCACCAGACACGGGAGCUUCCAGCUUGCAGAGCACACAUCACAUCUUCCUCUUGGAGCCCUCCUAGGGCAGACAGCACCUGUGAACCAUAAGUGGUAGGAUUGGCAGCCUGUCUUUCUAGACCUCACUGAUAUACCACUGUGGCUGACAGCCAGGCCGGGUUCAGCUAAAUCACAAGUCUGGCUGAAGUUCCCAACAUCUGUGUAUGCUCACUCUGCACUUGGGAAGCAGCCUCCUUGGUCUCCUGAGAGUGAAGGCUGAAAGGUCAGCAACAUCUAAGAAGCUUGAAGACACAGUCUCACCUGAGUUGUGCCCUCCUGGGUGGCAGUCCUCUGGAAGGAGAAUACUAGAAAAGGGAAGCGGAUUGGAGGUUUUGUUUCAGCUGAAAUCUAGGUUGCUUGGUGCUUGACGGCUUUCCUUUCCUCUGCUCGCUCAGAAAUGCUCUUGACAAUUAAAAACGUUCUUUUAAAAUGCUGUUUGAAAGGUGGAGUGACUGUUGUUUAUAGAGAUCCGUACAAAAUACAUCUGUGCCUUUCCUCCUGAAAGAAAAGGCGACUUGAACAUAUAAUUUAGCACUGACAGCGUUUACAAACAAGAAUUUUAAAAUAAAAUGUGCCCUUUGGUUUGGUGUGUGUGUGUGUGUGUGUGUGCGUGUGUGUGCAUAUUUGUGCGCAUGUAUGUAUAAGCAUUGCACAUGAAUGUUUGGGAGGCUGGGAGGUCUCCAUUCCCACUGCCAACUGCCAAUAAGCCAACGAGGAGCAGAAGCCAGGAUGGAGGAGGCAAAUCCCCCACACAGACGUCUGAACUGUGCCCUAUUCACAGACAGCAUUGUCUGGAAACCCAUGAAUCAGAAAAAUAGACAGGUGGCCUGCUCCUGGUGGUAACGCCAAGGGUGUCUGAAAAACUUCAGAGGCACAUCCAUCCUUCUGCUUUCGUUAUUGUAUCUCUUACAUGUCUAAGUAAAUGAAGACCCAAUUUAGAAUGUCAUUUGUUUUAAGGCAAAGGAUUAAAGCUACAGUGGAUGGAAAGAAUACCAGCACUGCCACCUCCACCUGUCUGGUCUGAAGAAUGCAUUCCUGACUGCUGUGCUGUUGUUGUUCUUCACGUCAUUGUUUCAUGAGAAGCGAGGUACCUCCGCGUGAGCGGAGUGGUGCCUCGGCAUGAGCGGAGUGACUAACCACUGAGUUAUUUUUCCUGUAGGGACUUCAGUGUUUUAUGAGUCUCUCCACCUUAUGUCUCAUGAAUUAACCUCACCCCACCAUCUGAAAUAGCACAGUUUGAUC
Long non-coding RNA from Mastomys coucha (southern multimammate mouse), 1364 nucleotides. RefSeq lists it as uncharacterized. The transcript is spliced from 3 exons. The record is from RefSeq and is a predicted model, not a curated record. Lineage: Eukaryota; Metazoa; Chordata; Mammalia; Rodentia; Muridae.